GACGAACGCUGGCGGCGUGCUUAACACAUGCAAGUCGAACGAUGAAGCUGGAGCUUGCUCCGGUGGAUUAGUGGCGAACGGGUGAGUAACACGUGAGCAAUCUGCCCUUGACUCUGGGAUAACUGCGGGAAACUGUAGCUAAUACCGGAUACUUUCACUGGAAGGCAUCUUCUGGUGAAGAAAGAAUUUCGGUCAAGGAUGAGCUCGCGGCCUAUCAGCUUGUUGGUGAGGUAACGGAUCACCAAGGAGACGACGGGUAGCCGGACUGAGAGGUUGACCGGCCAAAAUGGGACUGAGACACGGCCCAGACUCCUACGGGAGGCAGCAGUGGGGAAUAUUGCACAAUGGGCGCAAGCCUGAUGCAGCAACGCCGCGUGAGGGAUGAAGGCCUUCGGGUUGUAAACCUCUUUUAGCAGGGAAGAAGCGAAAGUGACGGUACCUGCAGAAAAAGCACCGGCUAACUACGUGCCAGCAGCCGCGGUAA
RNAcentral lists this ribosomal RNA (484 nucleotides) under uncultured bacterium. Its description in RNAcentral is "partial 16S ribosomal RNA". It matches the Rfam family "Bacterial small subunit ribosomal RNA", at positions 28 to 523 of the family's 1533-position model. The record is from RNAcentral.